AACCAGGGAAUGAAGUUCUCCCCCGGGAUCUCCCGAAACCGCUGAAAGGCUGAUGACUUCUGCGAU
This 66-nucleotide non-coding RNA is filed under the name uncultured Dysosmobacter sp. RNAcentral describes it as "Fluoride riboswitch". It matches the Rfam family "Fluoride riboswitch aptamer (crcB RNA motif)", at positions 8 to 61 of the family's 64-position model. The record is from RNAcentral. Lineage: Bacteria; Bacillati; Bacillota; Clostridia; Eubacteriales; Oscillospiraceae.